RNAcentral lists this ribosomal RNA (269 nucleotides) under uncultured archaeon. RNAcentral describes it as "partial 16S ribosomal RNA". It matches the Rfam family "Archaeal small subunit ribosomal RNA", at positions 477 to 746 of the family's 1478-position model. The record is from RNAcentral.
CAGCACCUCAAGUGGUCAGGAUGAUUAUUGGGCCUAAAGCAUCCGUAGCCGGCUCUGUAAGUUUUCGGUUAAAUCUGUAUGCUCAACAUACAGGCUGCCGGGAAUACUGCAGAGCUAGGGAGUGGGAGAGGUAGACGGUACUCGGUAGGAAGGGGUAAAAUCCUUUGAUCUAUUGAUGACCACCUGUGGCGAAGGCGGUCUACCAGAACACGUCCGACGGUGAGGGAUGAAAGCUGGGGGAGCAAACCGGAUUAGAUACCCGCGUAGUC